RNAcentral lists this long non-coding RNA (535 nucleotides) under Citrus maxima (pomelo). Its description in RNAcentral is "long non-coding RNA (CMAX_LNC004436)". The record is from RNAcentral. Lineage: Eukaryota; Viridiplantae; Streptophyta; Magnoliopsida; Sapindales; Rutaceae.
GUCAAUUUACAGCAAUUAAUUAACAUCCAAAUCCAAGUGCGUGCACUGUGGAACUCUGCCAAGACGUAUAUUUUGUAUUGGCAUGACAUUUGGGUAUUGUUCUAAGACCACUUCGCUUGAUAUGUAUUGAUUAUUAUGAUGCCGCAGUUUAAAAAGACACGUAUAUUGAUCGAUCCUUAUGAGAUGAGAAAUUAAAGUAGAGAUUUUGAUAUCUCUAAAAUUUAACACACUUUUCAAACCAAAUGAUAUUUGUCUAUUAUCUUUCAAGUUUCAUCAUCCAACUGAACCGAACCAUAUAUUUGAUUUUAGAACGCGGUAAUCCAUACCAAAGGUAAUAAUAGUCAGAGGCGGCAUAGCCGUGAUGGUGAAAUUUUUGUCAUAAAAAAUUUGGGAUAAAAUUUGGUAGACCAAAAAUUAAUUUUUGGGUUAAAUUAUAAGCAUUCUUUCUUUAAUCUCGUUAAAUUCUUAUUUUGUUACAAUUACAUAUAAUGAUAAAUAUAAAUAAAAUUAAUACUACUUAUAUUUUUACUCUCUC